GCGCAUCUCGUCGUGUCGCAAGAAUGGAUAUCGUUACAAGUACAUGUACUAAAAAUAAGAGAUAUAUAAUAUAAUUGGCUUACACUCGCCACAAGCUACAUCAGAGUCACAUCAGUACAUUACAUAAUCAUCAAGAGUAAGAGCAGGGUCCUACUACGGACGAAAACAAACGACAAAAGAAGAACGACGUCCAUCCUUGCUAUCCCAGGCUGCCGGCCUGGAACCCAUCCUAGAUCGAUGAAGAAGAAGAAGAAGCAACUCCAAAUGAACAAUCAACGCGCUCGCGUCAAGUAACCUUUACAUGUACCUGCAACUGGUGUUGUAGUAAUCUGUGAGCCACAGGGGACUCAGCAAUCUCAUUUCCAAA
Molecule: long non-coding RNA, 367 nt
Filed under: Hordeum vulgare
Lineage: Eukaryota; Viridiplantae; Streptophyta; Magnoliopsida; Poales; Poaceae
Description: long non-coding RNA (HVUL_LNC017118)
Source: RNAcentral